Mus pahari (shrew mouse) is the source of this 477-nucleotide non-coding RNA. Lineage: Eukaryota; Metazoa; Chordata; Mammalia; Rodentia; Muridae. The record is from the annotation of a RefSeq genome assembly.
AUGGGCUGGAUUUGGAUCAUGCUCUAUCUGCUGGCAGCAGUUACAGGUAUCCACUCCCAGGUUCACCUACAACAGUCUGGUUCUGAACUGAGGAGUCCUGGAUCUUCAGUAAAGCUGUCAUGCAAGGAUUUUGAUUCAGAUGUCUUUCCUAUUGCUUAUAUGAGUUGGGUGAGGCAGAAGCCUGGGCAUGGAUUUGAAUGGAUUGGAGACAUACUCCCAAGUAUUGGUAGAACACUCUAUGGAGAGAAGUUUGAGGAUAGAGCCACACUGGAUGCAGACACAAUGUCCAACACAGCCUACUUGGAGCUCAACAGUUUGACAUCUGAGGACUCUGCUAUCUACUACUGUGCAAGGCACAGUGUAGCAGCUCAUAUGUGGAACAUGUCAAAAACUCUGAAUGCAGGAAGCUAUUUGGGGUCUGAUAUUACCACAAAAAAUAACCAAAGCAGUUGCUCAAAGCCUGUGGUUAAAUAUUGA